CCUACGGGUGUCAGCAGUGGGGAAUAUUGGGCAAUGGGCACAAGCCUGACCCAGCAACGCCGCGUGAAGGAAGAAGGCUUUCGGGUUGUAAACUUCUUUUGUCAGGGACGAAGCAAGUGACGGUACCUGACGAAUAAGCCACGGCUAACUACGUGCCAGCCGCCGCGGUAAUACGGCGGUGGCCAGCUUUAUCCGGAUUUACUGGGUGGAAAGGGCGUGUAGGCGGGACUGCAAGUCAGAUGUGAAAACCACGGGCUCAACCCGUGGCCUGCCUUUGAAACUGUAGUUCUUGAGUACUGGAGAGGCAGACGGAAUUCCUGGUGUAGCGGUGAAAUGCGUAGAGAUUAGGAGGAACGCCAGUGGCGAAGGCGGUCUGCUGGACAGCAACUGACGCUGAGGCGCGAAAGCGUGGGGAGCAAACAGGAUUAGAUACCCUAGUAGUC
This 443-nucleotide ribosomal RNA is filed under the name uncultured bacterium. RNAcentral's name for it is "partial 16S ribosomal RNA". It matches the Rfam family "Bacterial small subunit ribosomal RNA", at positions 338 to 795 of the family's 1533-position model. The record is from RNAcentral.